This 69-nucleotide transfer RNA is filed under the name Fukomys damarensis (Damara mole-rat). It matches the Rfam family "tRNA". Rfam says of the family: Transfer RNA (tRNA) molecules are approximately 80 nucleotides in length. Their secondary structure includes four short double-helical elements and three loops (D, anti-codon, and T loops). Further hydrogen bonds mediate the characteristic L-shaped molecular structure. tRNAs have two regions of fundamental functional importance: the anti-codon, which is responsible for specific mRNA codon recognition, and the 3' end, to which the tRNAs corresponding amino acid is attached (by aminoacyl-tRNA synthetases). tRNAs cope with the degeneracy of the genetic code in two manners: having more than one tRNA (with a specific anti-codon) for a particular amino acid; and 'wobble' base-pairing, i.e. permitting non-standard base-pairing at the 3rd anti-codon position. The record is from Rfam by way of RNAcentral. Lineage: Eukaryota; Metazoa; Chordata; Mammalia; Rodentia; Bathyergidae.
AGGGAUGUAGCUCAGUGGUAGAGAGUACUUGCCUAACAUGCAAGAGGCCCUGGAUUUGAUACACUCCUA